Molecule: ribosomal RNA, 914 nt
Filed under: uncultured crenarchaeote
Lineage: Archaea; Thermoproteati; Thermoproteota
Also listed under: 2 other names
Description: bacterial SSU rRNA
Rfam family: Archaeal small subunit ribosomal RNA
Source: RNAcentral
UUCCGGUUGAUCCUGCCGGACCUGACUGCUAUCGGAUUGAUACUAAGCCAUGCGAGUCUUUGUAGUAAUACAAGGCAUACGGCUCAGUAACGCGUAGUCAACCUACCCUAUGGACAAGAAUAAUCUCGGGAAACUGAGCAUAAUUCUUGAUAGAUCAUAAUGCCUGGAAUGGUAUAUGGUUAAAAUGAUUCGUCGCCAUAGGAUGGGACUGCGGCCUAUCAGCUUGUUGGUGAGGUAAUGGCCCACCAAGGCGAUUACAGGUACGGGCUCUGAGAGGAGAAGCCCGGAGAUGGGUACUGAGACAAGGACCCAGGCCCUAUGGGGCGCAGCAGGCGAGAAAACUUUGCAAUGUGCGAAAGCACGACAAGGUUAGUCCGAGUGAUUUCUGCUAAAGAGAUCUUUUGCUAGUUAUAAAACCACUAGUGAAUAAGGGGUGGGCAAGUUCUGGUGUCAGCCGCCGCGGUAAAACCAGCACCUCAAGUGGUCAGGAUGAUUAUUGGGCCUAAAGCAUCCGUAGCCGGCUCUGUAAGUUUUCGGUUAAAUCUAUGCGCUCAACGUAUGGGCUGCCGAAAAUACUGUAGAGAUAGGGAGUGGGAGAGGUAGACGGUACUCGGUAGGAAGGGGUAAAAUCCUUUGAUCUAUCGAUGACCACCUGUGGCGAAGGCGGUCUACCAGAACACGUUCGACGGUGAGGGAUGAAAGCUGGGGGAGCAAACCGGAUUAGAUACCCGGGUAGUCCCAGCUGUAAACGAUGCAGACUCGAUGAUGCAUUGGCAUAUAGCCAGUGCAGUGUCGCAGGGAAGCCGUUAAGUCUGCCGCCUGGGAAGUACGUACGCAAGUAUGAAACUUAAAGGAAUUGGCGGGGGAGCACCACAAGGGGUGAAGCCUGCGGUUCAAUUGGAUUCAACGCCGGG